Molecule: ribosomal RNA, 194 nt
Filed under: uncultured Enterobacterales bacterium
Lineage: Bacteria; Pseudomonadati; Pseudomonadota; Gammaproteobacteria; Enterobacterales
Description: partial 16S ribosomal RNA
Rfam family: Bacterial small subunit ribosomal RNA
Source: RNAcentral
GUGGGAUAACUACUGGAAACGGUAGCUAAUACCGCAUAACGUCGCAAGACCAAAGAGGGGGACCUUCGGGCCUCUUGCCAUCAGAUGUGCCCAGAUGGGAUUAGCUAGUAGGUGGGGUAACGGCUCACCUAGGCGACGAUCCCUAGCUGGUCUGAGAGGAUGACCAGCCACACUGGAACUGAGACACGGUCCAG